CCUACGGGUGGCUGCAGUGGGGGAUAUUGCACAAUGGGGGAAACCCUGAUGCAGCGACGCCGCGUGUGUGAAGACGGUCCUCUGGAUUGUAAACCACUGCCCCCAGGGACGAAGAUGACGGUACCUGGGGAGGAAGCUCCGGCUAACUACGUGCCAGAAGCCGCGGUAAUACGUAGGGAGCGAGCGUUGUCCGGAAUUACUGGGUGAAAAGGAAGCGUAGGCGGGGAUGAAAGUUGGGUGUCAAAACUACGGGCUCAACUGGUAGUCGCAGUGAAAACUGGGGCACUUGAGUGAAGUAGGGGCAGGCGGAAUUCCUGGUGUAGCGGUGAAAUGCGUAGAUAUUAGGAGGAACACCAGUGGCGAAGGCGGCCUGCUGGGCUUUAACUGACGCUGAGGCUCGAAAGUGUGGGGAGCAAACAGGAUUAGAUACCCGUGUAGUC
Molecule: ribosomal RNA, 440 nt
Filed under: uncultured bacterium
Lineage: Bacteria
Description: partial 16S ribosomal RNA
Rfam family: Bacterial small subunit ribosomal RNA
Source: RNAcentral